This 467-nucleotide ribosomal RNA is filed under the name uncultured bacterium. Its description in RNAcentral is "partial 16S ribosomal RNA". It matches the Rfam family "Bacterial small subunit ribosomal RNA", at positions 28 to 523 of the family's 1533-position model. The record is from RNAcentral.
GACGAACGCUGGCGGCGUGCUUAACACAUGCAAGUCGAGCGAGAAACUUCGGUUUCUAGCGGCGGACGGGUGAGUAACACGUGGGCAACCUGCCUCACAAUGGGGGAUAGCCUUCCGAAAGGAAGAUUAAUACCGCAUAACACAAAGGAAACGCAGGUUUCUUUUGCCAAAGAAUUUCGUUGUGAGAUGGGCCCGGGGCGCGUUAGCUUGUUGGUGAGGGAACGGCUCACCAAGGCGACGAUGCGUAGCCGACCUGAGAGGGUGAUCGGCCACAUUGGAACUGAGACACGGUCCAGACUCCUACGGGAGGCAGCAGUGGGGAAUAUUGCACAAUGGAGGAAACUCUGAUGCAGCAACGCCGCGUGAGUGAUGAAGGUCUUCGGAUUGUAAAGCUCUGUCUUCUGGGACGAUAAUGACGGUACCAGAGGAGGAAGCCACGGCUAACUACGUGCCAGCAGCCGCAGUAA